This 69-nucleotide transfer RNA is filed under the name Hydroporus discretus. RNAcentral's name for it is "tRNA-Met". It matches the Rfam family "tRNA". From Rfam's summary of the family: Transfer RNA (tRNA) molecules are approximately 80 nucleotides in length. Lineage: Eukaryota; Metazoa; Arthropoda; Insecta; Coleoptera; Dytiscidae. The record is from RNAcentral.
AAAAAGAUAAGCUAAAUAAGCUUUUAGGUUCAUACCCUAAAUAUAAAGGUUAUAAUCCUUUUCCUUUUA